RNAcentral lists this ribosomal RNA (396 nucleotides) under uncultured bacterium. Its description in RNAcentral is "partial 16S ribosomal RNA". It matches the Rfam family "Bacterial small subunit ribosomal RNA", at positions 523 to 918 of the family's 1533-position model. The record is from RNAcentral.
AUACGUAGGGGGCGAGCGUUGUCCGGAAUGACUGGGCGUAAAGGGCGUGUAGGCGGCGGAUUAAGUCUGGAGUGAAAGUCCCGUUUUCAAGGGGGGAACUGCUUUGGAUACUGCCGCGCUUGAGUGCAGGAGAGGUUAUCGGAAUUCCCGGUGUAGCGGUGAAAUGCGUAGAGAUCGGGAGGAACACCAGUGGCGAAGGCGGGUAACUGGACUGCAACUGACGCUGAGGCGCGAAAGUGUGGGGAGCAAACAGGAUUAGAUACCCUGGUAGUCCACACUGUAAACGAUGAAUACUAGGUGUGGGGGGACUGACCCCCUCCGUGCCGCAGUUAACACAAUAAGUAUUCCACCUGGGGAGUACGAUCGCAAGAUUGAAACUCAAAGGAAUUGACGGGG